UGGGGAAUUUUGGACAAUAGGCGAAAGCCUGAUCCAGCAAUGCCGCGUGUGUGAAGAAGGCCUUCGGGUUGUAAAGCACUUUUGUCCGGAAAGAAAUCCUUGGCUCUAAUACAGUCGGGGGAUGACGGUACCGGAAGAAUAAGCACCGGCUAACUACGUGCCAGCAGCCGCGGUAAUACGUAGGGUGCAAGCGUUAAUCGGAAUUACUGGGCGUAAAGCGUGCGCAGGCGGUUUGCUAAGACCGAUGUGAAAUCCCCGGGCUCAACCUGGGAACUGCAUUGGUGACUGGCAGGCUAGAGUAUGGCAGAGGGGGGUAGAAUUCCACGUGUAGCAGUGAAAUGCGUAGAGAUGUGGAGGAAUACCGAUGGCGAAGGCAGCCCCCUGGGCCAAAUACUGACGCUCAUGCACGAAAGCGUGGGGAGCAAAACAGGAUUAGAUACCCUGGUAGUCCACGCCCUAAAACGAUGUCAACUAGUUGUUGGGGAUUCAUUUCCUUAGUAACGUAGCUAACGCGUGAAGUUGACCGCC
RNAcentral lists this ribosomal RNA (528 nucleotides) under uncultured bacterium. Its description in RNAcentral is "partial 16S ribosomal RNA". It matches the Rfam family "Bacterial small subunit ribosomal RNA", at positions 355 to 873 of the family's 1533-position model. The record is from RNAcentral.